This 931-nucleotide long non-coding RNA is filed under the name Gallus gallus (chicken). RNAcentral's name for it is "lncRNA (ENSGALG00010006652.1)". The record is from RNAcentral. Lineage: Eukaryota; Metazoa; Chordata; Aves; Galliformes; Phasianidae.
AAACAAUUCAACAUGAGAAAACUAUGAUCUGAAUUAGUCUGGGUACCACAUUUACUGAUCUUGACCCUAGUGAGACAAAGCUGAACAAUAUGUUUCCAGCCUCUGUCAGUAGUUAAGACAGUGGUGAGUACUGAAGCCUAUGUGAGACAAAUGACUGAAACUGAGGAGGGGAACAUCCCAACAGAGAGAACAGUGAAGCAACCUGUGUCUGCUCAGGGUAUUGCCAAUCAGUCUGCUGGGGAAGAUGACUUCAGGAUCCACAGAUCAUGAUGCCCAAAAGAGACCUCUCAGUCAGUCCCUCAGCUCUACCAGCCUAUGGGGAAACCAUAGGACCACUCUGGAAGGAAGGAACCUCAGGAGGGCUCUGGUUGCACCCUGAUGCUCAGAGAUGGCUCAGCUGUGACACAAACUGGAAUGAUCGGGUCUGCUCAGGCCACAGAAAGGACUAUCCCCUAGAAAAAGGAAGUGCAAAUCUCUCUCACCAGGUUAUGUAUAUGACCGUUCAUCUUCAUUCUGCUGGUGCUAAUUGCUGUCUAUUGGACCCUUCGCUACUGUGUACAGAGAACACAUGCUUCCCCUCGACACUGCCAUCGCUGCGGGUGCACUGGAUUGUUCUGCUGUCCUCAGAUAGGAACCUGCUGCUGCUGCCUGACCACAACAGCUGGGAAUAUUCUGCUUUUAAAAGCUUAUCUUGUUGAUACUUGAGUUGAGCUAUUACACAGUGGAACAAGCAAACAGAAUGAAUGGACCCUCUGCGGGCAACUUAUGGUGCUUACUGAAUCUUCUACAGCUGUGCUAACAGUUCACAAACAAAGCUGGGCUUUGAGUGUGGUACCUUCCAAAGAGGAAUGGUUUGGGGCAUUAGACGUAGAAGAAGAAGCAUCUUGUUGCUAAUCAAGAACAUCCUUAUUGCUGUGUGGUCCUCUCAGGU